RNAcentral lists this ribosomal RNA (532 nucleotides) under Bifidobacterium pseudocatenulatum. RNAcentral describes it as "bacterial SSU rRNA". It matches the Rfam family "Bacterial small subunit ribosomal RNA", at positions 153 to 697 of the family's 1533-position model. Lineage: Bacteria; Bacillati; Actinomycetota; Actinomycetes; Bifidobacteriales; Bifidobacteriaceae. The record is from RNAcentral.
GAAAAGGGUGGUAAUGCCGGAUGCUCCGACUCCUCGCAUGGGGUGUCGGGAAAGAUUUCAUCGGUAUGGGAUGGGGUCGCGUCCUAUCAGGUAGUCGGCGGGGUAACGGCCCACCGAGCCUACGACGGGUAGCCGGCCUGAGAGGGCGACCGGCCACAUUGGGACUGAGAUACGGCCCAGACUCCUACGGGAGGCAGCAGUGGGGAAUAUUGCACAAUGGGCGCAAGCCUGAUGCAGCGACGCCGCGUGCGGGAUGACGGCCUUCGGGUUGUAAACCGCUUUUGAUCGGGAGCAAGCCUUCGGGUGAGUGUACCUUUCGAAUAAGCACCGGCUAACUACGUGCCAGCAGCCGCGGUAAUACGUAGGGUGCAAGCGUUAUCCGGAAUUAUUGGGCGUAAAGGGCUCGUAGGCGGUUCGUCGCGUCCGGUGUGAAAGUCCAUCGCUUAACGGUGGAUCUGCGCCGGGUACGGGCGGGCUGGAGUGCGGUAGGGGAGACUGGAAUUCCCGGUGUAACGGUGGAAUGUGUAGAUAU